Molecule: long non-coding RNA, 10286 nt
Filed under: Homo sapiens (human)
Lineage: Eukaryota; Metazoa; Chordata; Mammalia; Primates; Hominidae
Description: HSALNT0361306
Rfam family: Metazoan signal recognition particle RNA (bases 2499-2646)
Source: RNAcentral
GCCCGCAGGUUCCAGCCCCGACCCGGGCGCGCGGGGCCGACUAGGGUCGGGUCCAGUGUGCGGUGGUCGCUCCGCUCCGGGCCGCUCCGCUCUGGGCGUCAGGGCGCGGGGAGCUGCCCCGGGGUUCUGUCCACCGGGGAGGAAAGCCACGAGCACUGAGCGCCUCCUGAGAGCCAGCCCUGACGUGAACUCAUUUUAUCUGCCACGACCCAGAAGGAGUCUACUGCUAAGAUUUCAGCAUGUCCUGUGGCUGAGUUAAUCAGAGUUAUGACAGGAAGGUACCGGGCACACCAUCGCAAUGCUCCAUCAAUGCUAGUAUGUUGUGUUCUUUCCUUCAUAUCAAGUCAACUCAAGCUUGCUCUACUUACCUGGUGUACACAGUCUAAGAACUGUAAGAAGACUGGAGCAAAACCACUCCCCUGACAGUUGAGGGUCAAGCUGCUCCUCUGACUGAAUUUGUGACCAAAAGAGAGCCACUCUUUUUCAACCAACAUCUGGAAGCCUUCAAGUGUCCUAUAAAAGGGAUCACUGAGUAACUGAACCAGGGAUGUCACCUAGGGCAUAAGCAGGAUGGAUUGUCAUUAAUUUUAGUUCUGAAAAAGGCCUAUUACUAAGAUAAAAGCACUUCCUUCUGAUGAUAGCUAAUUCACAAAUUUACCUGGACAGCAAAUUUGUUCACUAACCAUUCCAGGAUGGCCAAUAAAAUUAAUUUUGUAAACUUGCCAGUAAAAACUAAAGCUCAAAUUCAUUUUGGCUACAAGUUUACUUUCAGGGAAUUGAGACUUUAAUCCUUAACUGGCCAGUUUGCUGACAGCAACCUUUUCCUAAGUUAAUCAGAGGCCAGAGGAUCAGUUAAAAUCAAUUCUACUUUUUGGCAGAUGCAGAUUAAUGUCUUAAUGUAGUCUGAACUCACACUUUUCACUCUGGAGUGAGUUAAGGCGGGGCUUAUAGAGAGCCAGGGGAUGGACUGACAAAACCCAGGAAGGAUGGUCCACGCCUCACACUGCUGGUCAAGGGCUCCAUCCGCAAGCCUGCAUGGUACAUCUGUGGAUGGGAGAGCUUGAUGCCCGGAGCCAGAGCUCCAGGCUGCGUAGGGGCUAAGAGCUCAUGGUACGGAGUUUUCUGAUGGAUACCAGGUGCUGUUUAACACAGGACUUUCUCUGUCCAUAAACACAUUAGUCAUUAUACAAAAGAGUCAUCUGAAGAAUUUAAAAAUGACCAAAUGGAAAUAUAAAUAUAAAAUAUCAAAAAAUAUGUCUAAUAGUUUACUUGUGCAGUGAUGUCCCAGCCUUCCUCCAAACAGACCAAAACUGAGGAACCAUUCUCAAGUACUUCUGAUACAACCACAGCCAGCUGCAUUAUCCUGUGAAGCUAAGAGACAGGAAGGAGAACACAAUUAGACCAAGCGCUUUCUGAGUGCAGAAGUCAGAGAGAGUUGCUUUCAACCCUGGAUAAUCAAACGACUUAGGGAUAAAGCGCUUGCACAAAAGAACCACAUAAUGUUUUAAAUACCUAAAGUUCUUUCAAAUCAAGAUUAAACAAUGACACUUUUGACUGGAUGCAAUGACUCAUGCCCAUAAUCCCAGCACUUUGGGAGGCCGAGCCGGGCAGGUCAUUUGAGGUUCGGAGUUCGAGACCAGCCUGGGCAACAUAGUAAGACCCCAUCUCAAUGAAAACAACAACAAAAUGACACUUCAAAAAAGUAGACACAUUUUAAAACAAUACAUUCUAGUAAUACAUAAUGAAAUAAAAUUACCUUACAUGAUUCCCCCAAAAGUAGGUGAGCUAUAAUUCCAUAGAGUACAAAAAACAGAGAUUCUAUGUGGACUUCCCAACAAAAGACGGAAAUUCAGAUGAAUUUUAUUGGAUUUAAAAUUUGUUUUUCCAUGAUGUAGUAAGUUUUGUUUCAGACAUUUUUUUUUUUUUUUUUUGAGACAAAGUCUCGCUCUGUCACCCAGGCUGGAGUGCAGUGAUGCAAUCCUGGCUAACCACAACCUCUGCCCCCCGGGUUCAAGCGAUUCUCCUGCCUCAGCCUCCCGAGUAGCUUGGAUUACAGGUGCAUACCAGUGCACCCGGCUAAUUUUUUGUAUUUUUAGUAGAGACGAGGUUUCACCAUGUUGGCCAGGCUAGUCUUGAACUCCUGACCUCAGGUAAUCCACCUGCCUCAGCCUCCCAAAGUGCUAGCAUUACAGGCGUGAACCACCACGCCUGGCCUAUUUCAGGUAUUCUUAAUUUUUUGGGAAUUAGAUAGUGGUGAUAGUUACACAAUGUUGUGGACAUACCAAAAAGCGUUGAGUUGUGCACCUUUAUCAUAAGGAUAAAUUUUAUGGUAAGUGAAUUAUAUGUUAAAAAAGAAACUCCUGGCUGGGUGUGGUGGCUCAACGCCUGUAAUCCCAGCACUUUGGGAGGUUGAAGCAGGAGUAGUGCUUGAGCUCAGGAGUUUGAGACCACCUGGGCAACAUGGCAAAACCCCAUCUCUACAAAACAUACAAAAACCAGCCAGGCGUGGUGGCAUCUGCCUGUAAUCCCAGCUACUCAGGAGGCUGAGGUAGGAGGAUCGCUUGAACCUGGGAGAUCGAGGCUGCAGUGAGCUGUGAUUGUGCCACUGCACUCUAGCCUGGGUGACAGAGCAAGACCCUGUCUCGAAAAAUAAAAAUAAAAAAGAUACUCCUAUUUGUCUAUACUGUGUACUAAAUGAGAAAAAAACUUUCAAUAUAUUUGUGCUAAGUUUUUAAAGCCACAUCAAUUGGCUCAAAGUCCUUAAUAAACAAUUAAGGUAUGAGAAUAGUAUAUAGAUUUUAAAACCAGAUGUAUAACAUUGUAAUUUUAAAAAAUAUUUUAAUGAUCAUCAGACAUAAUUUGCAAUUUGAAUCCAACUCUGAACAAGAACAAAAAUGAAAAAACCCAUCUCUUAAACAGAGCUAGGCUACUUUAAACACAGGAAUAAGGCAAAUGCCCUACUCAGUAAUGAGAAGCUCCUCAUGUAACUGUUUCUACAACAUAGCUAUCACCAGGCCUGAAUUCUUUUGGGCUCAGAAUUUGUUCUAAGAAAUGGCUAUUAUUAAAAAGUCAAAAAAUAACAGAUGCUGGCGAGCCUGUGGAGAAAAGGGAAUGUAUAUACAUUUCUGGUGGGAAUGUAAAUUAGUUCAGCCAUUGUAGAAAGUAGUUUGGUGAUUUCUCAAAUAACUUAAAACAGAAUUACCAUUUGACCUAGCAAUCCCAUUACUGAGUAUAUACCCAAAGGAAUAUAAAUUGUUCUACCAUAAAGUCACAUGCACACACAUGUUCAGUGCUGUACUAUUCACAAUAGCAAAGACAUGGAGUCAACCUAUAUGCCCAUCAACGGUAGACUGGAUAAAGAAAAUAUGGUACAUAUACACCAUGGAAUACUACACAGCCAUAAAAAGAAUGAGCUUAUGUCCUUUGCAGUAACACAGCUGAAGCAAACUAACACAGGAAUGGAAAACCAAAUACUGCAUAUUCUCACUUAUAAGUGGGAGCUAAACAUUGAGUACACAUGGACACAAAGAAAGGAAUAGACGCCUGGGGCGUAUUUGAGGUUGGAGGUGAGAGGAGGGUGAGGAUAGAAAAACUACCUAUCAGGUACUAUGCUUAUUACCUGGGUGAUGAAAUAAUCUGUACACCAAACUCCCAAGAUAUGCAAUGUACCUAUACAACAAACCUACAUAUGUACCCCUGAACACAAAAUAAAAGUUAAAAAAAGAAUUUGCUUUAAGAGUUAACUUUUAAGAUGUCAAUAUCCCAAGUGGGCAAUUAUUUUCCACUGUCUUUAGUCCCUAUCUUUUGGUACAGGUCCACUUUCUAGCAAAGAGUAGAGCACAGAAUGUAUCAGAAACAUGGAUAGAUAAGUUGGGUGGAGGGGUCCGUUUGGAGCUGGGGCUCAUAGCCUGGGGACAGAAGGGAGUAUCGACCAGUUCCUUCCACGGGUAUGCAAAGCACCCUAAAUUGCCUUAAUAAUAAUGAACACAGCAUGAUACAUUUAUAGCCAAAUAUUUAUGUGGCGGCAUUUCUCUUUGGUUUAAGUAUCUUGAGAACAGUCACAGCCCUGAGUACUGACAUCAUUUCCUUUUUUUUUUUUUGCCUUUUAGUCCAAUGUGCUGUGGGAAACAAGAGGCAGGAUGCUUGGAGGUAGAUGGAGGCAGGGGACUGGGAAUUUCUGCAAGGUGAUAACAAAUAAUGGGGGCCAGGCGUGGCAGCUCAUGCCUGUAAUCACAGCUCUUUGGGAGGUCAAGGUGGGAGGAUUACUUGAGGCCAGGAGUUCAAGACCAGCCUGGGCAAUAUAAGAAAUAAAGGGGCUUAAAGACAAGGCCCUUUAAUUUCUCAAUAAAAGUUCAAUUAAGAAUAUCCCAAAGUUGACUGAACUGAAAGAUGAUAGACACUGUGUUUUUUUUUCAAGCCUUAGGUAGGCUUGGGGGCAUCCAGUGUGCCUUUGGUGGGUAGUGUGGGGUGGAUCUAAAAUCUAGAGACCUGGGAUAGGCAGACAAAUGAAAGGUGAGAGCUCUUGGGAGUCAUGCAGAAGUUGCCCUCUGCCCUGGAUCCUUACUGUAUUGACAACAGAGCAGGAGCCCUGUAAAUACAUGCUGAUUAAAUUUACAUCAAAGAUUUCCAUCUAAAAAUAAUUUUCUCCUUAGUGUCCUAUAGAUACCAAACUUUUAAAUACACAGAGAUAAAAACCCAGCGAUCAAGACUUCUACUCCCUCACCUCCUAUACCAGAUGAUUUCCUUAGUCUGAAAGGCCUUUACUGAUGGCACACAAUGAAGGAGGAGAAUGUUGGGGAGUAGGGGAACAAAGUAUUUUUUUUCUCAAAUACAGUUCUGUAUAUCUACUUGGGCCUCUGUUUCUUUGAGUUAUAAAGAAAGAAGCUGCUUCAGACAUUACCUGUGGGAACCACUCAGAAUCUCCCAGCGCUUUCAGGAAGGUCACUUCUGAGUCAGUAGGGAUGGUGCUUGGGAUACAAGCCCUCAUCAGCUUCUUAAAACUGGCUUUCACUUGCCGGAUUUCAUGAAAUUCAACAGGAACAAACUCACAAUUUAAAGCAAAUUCUACCUUGAAGUUCUGCGGAUGAAGAUUCAGAGAAUUAGGCAGAUGAAGUGCUAUAGGUAAAAGAGUGAUGUUUCCAAUGGGGCAGUGCAUAAUGACAAAGUUAUUUGGGGCCAAAUAGCUGCAGAGGCUGCCAAUGGGUCAAGAAAGUCAAUCUUGUACAGCAAUGUGUCAGUGUUGGUGGGAACAGCCAUUCAGUACAAGCUAGUGGUUUGCCCAGAAUGGCAAAUCUAGUCCUUACUAGAGGUAGAUUACUUAGCCUAAGAAUGCGUUCAUUCUGAGAACUGGAAGAGCCUACUGGUAGACUGGAACUUGAUGGAGCUCAUAAUACCAAAUAUAAGUCAAUUAUAAGGCCAUGAACCUGGAAGUUUAAAGAGAAACUAAUGAUACAUGGACAGUAUGAUUACUCCAACAGUGUAAACUAAGUCUUCCCAAGAUGUAUAUGGUAAGGGAUAGGUAACACACUGUUGGAGUUCCAGACUGUACGUGUAUUAAAGUUUGUAGAUAUGCACAUAUUUGUUUCUUAUUAUGCAAGUAAAACAUAUUCAUAAUAAAAAUGAAAAAAGGUAGAGAUAAAUAUUGAGAAAGAAAUAGAAAUCACUUUCUUACUGCCCCAAGACUACCAACAUUGUGGUUAUUUUUUUGUUUUUUUGGGAUGGAGUCUUGCUCUGUCACCCAGGCUGGAGCGCAAUGGUGCGAUCUUGACUGACUGCAACCUCCGCUUCCCAGGUUCAAGCGAUUCUCCUGCCUCAGCCUCCCGAGUAGCUGGGACUACAGUCGUGCGCCACCAUACCCAGUUAAUUUUUGCAUUUUUAGUAGAGAUGGGCUUUCACCAUGUUGCCCAGGAUGGUCUCAAUCUUUUGACCUUGUGAUCCGCCCACCUCGGCCUCCCAAAGUGCUGAGAUUACAGGCGUGAGCCACCACGCCCAGUCCUACUUCUUAAAAGUCAAUAAUAAAAAAUUACAUGGUCGGGCACGGUGGCUCAUGACUGUAAUCUCAGCAGUCUGGAAGGCUGAGGCAGACAGAUUACCUGAGGUCAGGAGUUCAAGACCAGCCUGGCCAACACGGUGAAAUCCCAUCUCUACUAAAAAUACAAAAAGUAGCCAGGCGUGGUGACAGGCACCUGUAAUCGCAGCUACUCGGGAGGCUGAGGCAGGAGAAUCACUUGAACCCCGGAGAUGGAGGUUGCAGUGAGCUGAGAUGACACCACUGCACUCCAGCGUGGGCAGCAGAGUGAGACUCCACCUUAAAAAAAAAAAUUACAUAAAAAAACCACGAAAGGCUUUGUUCAUUUCUAUCUUUGGGAUAAUAUUUUUUCACUUAAUAUAUGUAUCAACCUAUAUUUAUUUGAGUACUUUCUCAUUUACAUCUUUAAUCCUUAUGGAAUUUAUUUUGUGUGUGGUAUGAGUGUUGCAUUUGCAAUUAAAGAAUGCUAUACUGAUGGCCUACUGGUAUAUUUCAUUUUAAUAACCUGGUUGCCUAGCUCUGAAGAAGAUUUAAAAGUCCUCUAACUUUUCAUGCCAAAGAAUGAAUUAAUUUUCUCAAAAUGUUUCCACUUUCUUUUCAUUGUGCCCAAAUUACUCUAUUGGACCAUCUGCUUUUCUAAGAUUAAAACUGCUUUCUGGAGAUUGGUUGCACAGCAACAUAAAUGUACUUAAUAAUACUGAGUCAUACACUUAGAAAUGGUUAAGAUGGUAAAUCUUGUUAUGUGUAUUUUAUAAUUUUUCCUUUGUCUUAAUAAUUCUAUUUUUAAGGAAGCUAUUCUAAGGAAAUAAUCUAAUAGGAAAAAACCCCCAGGGAAUGGUAUCUCAAUUAAAAAAAAUAACAAAAUAACUUAUUUGCUUGGAAUUGUGACUGUAAUUUUAUAUACAGAAGAUAAAGAAACCUAAACAUCCAACAACAUGGGAUGAAUAGUGACUAAAAUAGUUAUGAAGACUAUAUGACAUGGAAACAUAAUGUUAAGGCUUCAGAUAAAUAACCUAGCGAUAUACAUGAGUUCCUUUCUAUUAUUUUUAAAAACUUAUAAUAGACAAAACAUAGUUUACUUUUCAGGAAAGGUAGAUUCCUAUUUCCCAACUAUACAUGAGCUAGGUAUGCUUAUCUUAUAAACCAGGAGUUACUAACCAAAGUAUUGAGACACUCCAUUAGGUUGUAAGGAAUUUGUUCCUAAUAAUAAAGUAUUAAAGUAUGUGAAUUUACCUAGGUAAAGGCCAAAUUCAAGAUUAUUUUCAGAAUAAGUCACUGUAAUUUAUUGGCUUUCAUGUUUCUUUGUUGGGAGAAAAAGGUAUGGAAUUGUAACUGGAUGGCAUUGUGCAAGCUAGAAUGUGGCACAUAUCAGACAGAUACAGAGCCAUAUUCUACAUACAAAAUUGAAUAAAAGAUAAAACCUGAAUGGAAUAUAUAGAAUAGCUGACAACUAUUGUGCCAGAAUGGUGGGAUUACAUUUUUAAAAAUAAUAAUACUUGUCCGGGUGUAGUGGCUCACGCCUGUAAUCCCAGCACUUUGGGAGGCCAGGGCGGGUGGAUCACAAGGUCAAGAGAUGGAGACCAUCAUGGCCAACGUGGUGAAACCCCAUCUCUACUAAAACUAAAAAAAAAAAAAAAAAAAAAAAAAAAAGCUGGGCGUGGUGACGCGUGCCUGUAAUCUCAGCUACUCAGGAGACUGGGGCAGAAUUGCUUGAACCUGGGAGGUGGAGGUUGCAGUGAGCCGAGAUCAUGCUACUGCAUUCCAGCCUAGCGACAGAGUGAGACUCCAUCUCAAAAACUUAAAAAAAAUAUAAUAAUAAUAUUUUAUUGAGGAAGGGCAGACAGAAAGAAAAAGAGGGCAGGAGGAAGAGAGGGAAGGAAAAAGGCAGCAUCCCAACUCUUUCUUACUCAAAUACGUAUGAUCACAUAGCUAAUCUGAGAAAUUAUGUGCAAAGAGAAUGGCAGAGGGGAGUAUUAAGGAGCUAAACCUCGGAGAGUGAUUCGGAUCACGAGUAAGUGUUGUGCUGAAGCAUGGAAAGUCUGUGCUCUGGAAAAGACACUGGCACCAGCAACCCUGGAUUGCUGUAGAAAAGGGUUCUAUUUUUUGGAUAUAAAAUUAUCUACUGUAUCAGAAGACACAUAUGCAGAUUUAAAACUUGAGCAUUACCCAGCAGUUUUAUGCCCUCUACCCUAAAGGUUAGUGACUAAGUGGUUGCAGCAGUCCAGGCAGUGGGAGAAGAGCUAGCAAAGCCACUAGCCUGCUCCAGAAGAGAUGACUCAGUUACUGGCAUCUUAAGGGCCAAGCAUGUGGGAUCUUGCUAAUGGCACCCUGCUCACAGUUUCUGCUCCACGGUUCAGCCAGAGGUCUGUCUAGGUUGUCCAGUGCCAACUGGAGCACUGGAUUAAACGUUGAGAUUUCUGAGUUAACAGAUAACUUUCAUGUCCUAUAUACCUACUGGUAGUAAUGAAAUUUAUUUUGUAAUGUGUGACUUGCAAAACAUUAAAUUCAAGGAAUUGUUGUUGCUUUUGGAGGAAAAGACCAUCUUUACAAUUUAUGGGCCCUCAGCAUGGUGAAGCUCUUUAGCGCAACAAUUUAACAGUAAGAAUAAAGUUGAUUAGCAUCUAGUAUUUUGAAUUUUCUGACACAUCUUAGGACAUGUGUCUCUUUCUAUAUAGCUUUGCGAAGUUUUAACAAGUGUUACUCAGAAAACCUAGACUUGGCCUUGCCUUGCCUCCAUACAUGGUACCACAGUCUUCCUCUCUCCAUUCUUCUAUGUUUCUGUAGCCUGCUUUAGGUUUACCAUAACAAAACUAUCUGUUUUGCCAUGGGCAGAUUCCUGUGGAAACUGAAUCAAGGCUGUUGAAAACACAGCCUGAUGAAGCCUUAUUCCUUUUUUUUGUAUGUAUGUACGCUUCCUGAUGUUUAUGUUGAUUUUUUACUAUUAUGAAUAAAUAUUUAUUUUCAUGGCUAAUAAAUAUGCAUAUGUAUAUACAUGUAUUGAUAUAAAAAUUAAUAUAUAUAAAUAAAUACAAAAGGAGAGCUAAAUUUUUUGAGAUUAUUAACUCCAGGUUAAGAAUCAUGCUGUAAAAAAAAUUCUAGCAAAGCUGGUUUGUGAUACAGGUUUUAUCAACAGCCCUAGCGUAUCCAUAAAGUUUCUAAGUGAGAAAAAAGAAAUCUUACCCUUAGUUGCGACUUUUCACCAAAUAUGUAAAGGGCUGCUUGCCGUUUCAAGAGCUGGUUUUGUAGGUAGCUGCUGUUACUGAAGGAGGCCGAGUGAUCCUUGCCUGCCAGCCGGGCGCCAACAUCAAUGAAGGAUGUUGGAGAGCUGAUCAAGCGAGUGCUAGAGCGAAGACUUGCCCACACACCUUCACAAAAGCCAAAGUCGUGGAGUGAGAUAAUCUAAUGUGGGAAUGCCACUAACUAAGGAAAAAGGUGCAUGCUCUGGAGCUACAGUUUUAGAGGUCAUAGCAAGCUGAUUAAUCUAAAAACCGUAAGUCAUAUGGUCAUUUGCUACUUCUGUAACAUAAACAUUAUCCAAUAUAGCAUUUCAAAAUCACACAAUCUUAGCCUCAGAAUGACCUAGCAAAUCCCCCAAAUCAAUCCUAUUUUAUAUUUUGAUGUAAAUUCAGGAUUUAAAAGUAAAUACUAAGAUCUUAAGCAGAAACAGUACAUUGAUACUGAAAACAAAACAUGCUGGCAGGAGGUACUAAUAAAGUCUAGGAAGGCAAAUGCUGAGUUAUGCAAUUUCUCAGGGCUUCAUGAAAAAAGUAAGGAACAUUCUUCUGCUUAUUUGGUCAAUUUAACAUGACAUUUAAAGAUAUGAAAUAGAAACUUCAUAAGUCUACUAAAAUCUGAAGCUGGAUUUGGAAUUAAUAUUUGUAUAUCAUGCCAAAACGAUGUAAUUCUAAACAAGAUUAUAUUAUAUUUUUCAGUAUCCAUGAAGAAUGAGAAUUAUAAGUUUAGUAAUGGGCACAGUGCCUCAUGCCUGUAAUACUAGCACUUUGGGAGGCCAAGGUGGGCAGAUCGCUUGAGCCCAGGAGUUUGAAACCAGCCUGGGCAACAUGGUGAAACCCCGUCUCUACCAAAAAAAAAAAAAAAAAAAAAAAAACUACAAAAAGACACCUGUAUUGGGAGGCUGAAAUGGGAGGAUCACUUGACCGCUGGAGGUGGAGGUUGCAGUGAGCCAAGAUAGCGCCACUGCGCUACAUACUGGGCAACAGAGUAAGACACUGUCUCUAAAAUAAAAUAAAAUAAAUGA